UUAAACCGGCUCGGUUUUUAAACUGCUGGGUCUGUGACGGUUAAGUUUAGGGUGUGGUGUGUUUCAGCCUUAAAUUUAGCAGUACUCACCAGACCACAGCUCGAAAUUCAAAGCCCGACGAUCCCGACCCAGCAUCGCGUUCCGCCAUGAAGUCCUGUUUCAGCCAGACUGCCUUGUCCCAAAGACGGUAAGUGUCAUCGUUAGACUAUAAUCACUGGGUCUAUGAUGGUUAAGUUUAGAGUGUGUUUUAGUUCAGCCUUAAAUUUAGCUGUGUUUGAAUUAAACCGGCUAGGUUUUUAAACCGCUGGGUCUGUGACGGUUAAGUUUAGGGUGUGUUUUAGUUCAGCCUUAAAUUUAGCUGUGUUAGAAUUAAACCGGCUAGGUUUUUAAACCGCUGGGUCUGUGACGGUUAAGUUUAGGGUGUGGUUUGGUUCAGCCUUAAAUUUAGCAGUACUCACCAGACCACAGCUCGAAAUUCAGAGUCCGACGAUCCCGACCCAGCAUCGCGUUCCGCCAUGAAGUCCUGUUUCAGCCAGGCUGCCUUGUCCCAAAGACGGUAAGUGUCAUCGUUAGACUAUAAUCACUGGGUCUAUGAUGGUUAAGUUUAGGGAGUGUUUUAGUUCAGCCUUAAAUUUAGCUGUGUUAGAAAAUAAACCGGCUAGGUUUUUAAACCGCUGGGUCUGUGACGGUUAAGUUUAGGGUGUGUUUUAGUUCAGCCUUAAAUUUAGCUGUGUUAGAAUUAAACCGGCUAGGUUUUUAAACCGCUGGGUCUGUGACGGUUAAGUUUAGGGUGUGGUUUGGUUCAGCCUUAAAUUUAGCAGUACUCACCAGACCACAGCUCGAAAUUCAGAGUCCGACGAUCCCGACCCAGCAUCGCGUUCCGCCAUGAAGUCCUGUUUCAGCCAGGCUGCCUUGUCCCAAAGACGGUAAGUGUCAUCGUUAGACUAUAAUCACUGGGUCUAUGAUGGUUAAGUUUAGGGAGUGUUUUAGUUCAGCCUUAAAUUUAGCUGUGUUAGAAAAUAAACCGGCUAGGUUUUUAAACCGCUGGGUCUGUGACGGUUAAGUUUAGGGUGUGUUUUAGUUCAGCCUUAAAUUUAGCUGUGUUAGAAUUAAACCGGCUAGGUUUUUAAACCGCU
Molecule: long non-coding RNA, 1136 nt
Organism: Carassius gibelio (silver crucian carp)
Lineage: Eukaryota; Metazoa; Chordata; Actinopteri; Cypriniformes; Cyprinidae
Exons: 3
Source: RefSeq, a predicted model, not a curated record